AAGUGAGAAUGCCGGUGUGAGUAGCGAAAGACGGGUGAGAAUCCCGUCCACCGAUUGACUAAGGUUUCCAGAGGAAGGCUCGUCCGCUCUGGGUUAGUCGGGUCCUAAGCUGAGGCCGACAGGCGUAGGCGAUGGAUAACAGGUUGAUAUUCCUGUACCACCUAUAAUCGUUUUAAUCGAUGGGGGGACGCAGUAGGAUAGGCGAAGCGUGCGAUUGGAUUGCACGUCUAAGCAGUAAGGCUGAGUAUUAGGCAAAUCCGGUACUCGUUAAGGCUGAGCUGUGAUGGGGAGAAGACAUUGUGUCUUCGAGUCGUUGAUUUCACACUGCCGAGAAAAGCCUCUAGAUAGAAAAUAGGUGCCCGUACCGCAAACCGACACAGGUAGUCAAGAUGAGAAUUCUAAGGUGAGCGAGCGAACUCUCGUUAAGGAACUCGGCAAAAUGACCCCGUAACUUCGGGAGAAGGGGUGCUCUUUAGGGUUAACGCCCAGAAGAGCCGCAGUGAAUAGGCCCAAGCGACUGUUUAUCAAAAACACAGGUCUCUGCUAAACCGUAAGGUGAUGUAUAGGGGCUGACGCCUGCCCGGUGCUGGAAGGUUAAGAGGAGUGGUUAGCUUCUGCGAAGCUACGAAUCGAAGCCCCAGUAAACGGCGGCCGUAACUAUAACGGUCCUAAGGUAGCGAAAUUCCUUGUCGGGUAAGUUCCGACCCGCACGAAAGGCGUAACGAUUUGGGCACUGUCUCAACGAGAGACUCGGUGAAAUCAUAGUACCUGUGAAGAUGCAGGUUACCCGCGACAGGACGGAAAGACCCCGUGGAGCUUUACUGUAGCCUGAUAUUGAAAUUCGGCACAGCUUGUACAGGAUAGGUAGGAGCCUUUGAAACGUG
This 884-nucleotide ribosomal RNA is filed under the name Staphylococcus aureus. RNAcentral describes it as "partial 23S ribosomal RNA". It matches the Rfam family "Bacterial large subunit ribosomal RNA", at positions 1286 to 2166 of the family's 2925-position model. Lineage: Bacteria; Bacillati; Bacillota; Bacilli; Caryophanales; Staphylococcaceae. The record is from RNAcentral.